RNAcentral lists this transfer RNA (80 nucleotides) under Sphaerobolus stellatus SS14. RNAcentral describes it as "tRNA-Leu (TAG) (tRNA-Leu-TAG-1-1, tRNA-Leu-TAG-1-2)". It matches the Rfam family "tRNA". Rfam says of the family: Transfer RNA (tRNA) molecules are approximately 80 nucleotides in length. Lineage: Eukaryota; Fungi; Basidiomycota; Agaricomycetes; Geastrales; Sphaerobolaceae. The record is from RNAcentral.
GGCAACAUGGCCGAGUGGUCUAAGGCGCCAGAAUUAGGAUCUGGUCCGAAAGGGCGUGAGUUCGAACCUCACUGUUGUCA